Molecule: ribosomal RNA, 504 nt
Filed under: uncultured bacterium
Lineage: Bacteria
Description: bacterial SSU rRNA
Rfam family: Bacterial small subunit ribosomal RNA
Source: RNAcentral
ACUCAAAGGAAUUGACGGGGGCCCGCACAAGCGGUGGAGCAUGUGGUUUAAUUCGAUGCAACGCGAAGAACCUUACCGGGGUUUGACAUGGGAGCCUCGCCGCAAGGCGAGGUCAGCCCUAUGAAAGUAGGGUGUGUCCACACAGGUGCUGCAUGGCUGUCGUCAGCUCGUGUCGUGAGAUGUUGGGUUAAGUCCCGCAACGAGCGCAACCCUCGCCGAUAGUUACCAACGGGUCAUGCCGGGGACUCUAUCGGGACUGCCGGUGAUAAACCGGAGGAAGGUGGGGAUGAUGUCAAGUCAUCAUGGCCCUUACAUCCCGGGCUACACACGUGCUACAAUGGUCGGUACAGCGGGUUGCAAUACCGCGAGGUGGAGCAAAUCCUCAAAGCCGGCCUCAGUACGGAUUGGAGUCUGCAACUCGACUCCAUGAAGCCGGAAUCGCUAGUAAUCGCGGAUCAGAAUGCCGCGGUGAAUACGUUCCCGGGCCUUGUACACACCGCCCGU